GGCUGAGCUGUGCAGUUUUGAUUGUGGGGGGAGGGCUCUCUUAUCUAGGCUAGAGGCCUCUUCUCACAAUUCUAAUUUCACAGCUCUCCAGAAGCC
RNAcentral lists this microRNA precursor (96 nucleotides) under Macacine gammaherpesvirus 4 (Rhesus lymphocryptovirus). RNAcentral describes it as "microRNA rlcv-mir-rL1 precursor (rlcv-mir-rL1-21)". Its record names the gene rlcv-mir-rL1-21. The record is from miRBase by way of RNAcentral. Lineage: Duplodnaviria; Heunggongvirae; Peploviricota; Herviviricetes; Herpesvirales; Orthoherpesviridae.